This 365-nucleotide long non-coding RNA is filed under the name Serinus canaria (Common canary). RNAcentral's name for it is "lncRNA (ENSSCAG00000004618.1)". The record is from RNAcentral. Lineage: Eukaryota; Metazoa; Chordata; Aves; Passeriformes; Fringillidae.
AAGAAAGCCUGUACUUAUGCUUCACCAGGAGCAGUUCUCUGUCUAAAACUCUCUUAUUUUUGACAUUUAUCUGACUCAGUUUUAAGGCAUUAUUACUACAGGGUGAGCUGUUAUUCUUUGUCAUUAUUUCAGGACUGUCUUCAGGGUCUCUGGACAAGAUAAGAAACAGGAUAACAGCAAAAAGCUCAGUCUGGUAUUGUAAGGACCCUGAAGGGUGGUUUUCAGGAAGCUUCACCUACAGGAGACUGAAGCAGUUCAGCUUUGAGGAUGGAGGUGGAGAACAUCAAGGACUGAAGGUGUUUAUGGGAAGUGUGUUUAUGGAAAAGGCUUUUGAAUUGUUGUUGUUGUUUUGCAGACAAACCUGA